Molecule: ribosomal RNA, 371 nt
Filed under: uncultured bacterium
Lineage: Bacteria
Description: bacterial SSU rRNA
Rfam family: Bacterial small subunit ribosomal RNA
Source: RNAcentral
GGAGGGUGCGAGCGUUGUUCGGAAUUAUUGGGCGUAAAGCGCGUGUAGGCGGUUUUUUAAGUCUGAUGUGAAAGCCCUGGGCUCAACCCGGGAAGUGCAUUGGAAACUGGGAGACUUGAAUACGGGAGAGGGUAGUGGAAUUCCUGGUGUAGGAGUGAAAUCCGUAGAUAUCAGGAGGAACACCGGUGGCGAAGGCGGCUACCUGGACCGAUAUUGACGCUGAGACGCGAAAGCGUGGGGAGCAAACAGGAUUAGAUACCCUGGUAGUCCACGCCGUAAACGAUGAGUACUAGGUGUCGCGGGUAUUGACCCCUGCGGUGCCGCAGCUAACGCAUUAAGUACUCCGCCUGGGAAGUACGGCCGCAAGGCUA